AUACGGAGGGUGCAAGCGUUAAUCGGAAUUACUGGGCGUAAAGCGCGCGUAGGCGGUUUAGUAGGUCGGAUGUGAAAGCCCAGGGCUCAACCUUGGAAUUGCAUUCGAUACUGCUUAACUAGAGUAUGGUAGAGGGAAGUGGAAUUUCCGGUGUAGCGGUGAAAUGCGUAGAUAUCGGAAGGAACACCAGUGGCGAAGGCGACUUCCUGGGCCAAUUCUGACGCUGAGGUGCGAAAGCGUGGGGAGCAAACAGGAUUAGAAACCCCAGUAGUCC
Molecule: ribosomal RNA, 274 nt
Filed under: uncultured bacterium
Lineage: Bacteria
Description: partial 16S ribosomal RNA
Rfam family: Bacterial small subunit ribosomal RNA
Source: RNAcentral